GAUGAACGCUGGCGGCGUGCCUAAUACAUGCAAGUCGAGCGAACAGACGAGGAGCUUGCUCCUCUGACGUUAGCGGCGGACGGGUGAGUAACACGUGGAUAACCUACCUAUAAGACUGGGAUAACUUCGGGAAUCCGGAGCUAAUACCGGAUAACAUGUUGAACCGCAUGGUUCAACAGUGAAAGACGGUCUUGCUGUCACUUAUAGAUGGAUCCGCGCCGCAUUAGCUAGUUGGUAAGGUAACGGCUUACCAAGGCAACGAUGCGUAGCCGACCUGAGAGGGUGAUCGGCCACACUGGAACUGAGACACGGUCCAGACUCCUACGGGAGGCAGCAGUAGGGAAUCUUCCGCAAUGGGCGAAAGCCUGACGGAGCAACGCCGCGUGAGUGAAGAAGGUCUUCGGAUCGUAAAACUCUGUUAUUAGGGAAGAACAAAUGUGUAAGUAACUAUGCACGUCUUGACGGUACCUAAUCAGAAAGCCACGGCUAACUACGUG
This 497-nucleotide ribosomal RNA is filed under the name uncultured bacterium. RNAcentral describes it as "partial 16S ribosomal RNA". It matches the Rfam family "Bacterial small subunit ribosomal RNA", at positions 28 to 507 of the family's 1533-position model. The record is from RNAcentral.